Molecule: ribosomal RNA, 414 nt
Filed under: uncultured prokaryote
Description: bacterial SSU rRNA
Rfam family: Bacterial small subunit ribosomal RNA
Source: RNAcentral
GUGUCAGCAGCCGCGGUAAGACGAACUGUGCGAACGUUAUUCGGAAUCACUGGGCUUACAGGGUGCGUAGGCGGCCUGUUAAGUAGGGUGUGAAAUCCCCCGGCCCAACCGGGGAAUUGCGCUCUAAACUAGCAGGCUUGAGUAAGCUAGGGGUGCACGGAACCUCCAGUGGAGCGGUGAAAUGUGUUGAUAUCGGAAGGAACACCAGAGGCGAAAGCGGCAUGCUGGGGCUUGUCUGACGCUGAGGCACGAAAGCCAGGGGAGCAAACGGGAUUAGAUACCCCGGUAGUCCUGGCUGUAAACGAUGAGCACUGGACGGAAGGGGGGCUUACCCUCUUCGGUCGUAGCGAAAGCGUUAAGUGCUCCGCCUGGGGAGUAUGGUCGCAAGGCUGAAACUCAAAUGAAUUGACGGGG